GGCUGGUUCGAGUGUAGUGGCAUUUACAAUUCAUUGAUCACAGCCAGUUACAGAGUUCUCUGUUCCUGCUCCACUCCCACUGCUUCACUUGACUAGCCUUAA
This 102-nucleotide Y RNA is filed under the name Zalophus californianus (California sea lion). RNAcentral's name for it is "Y RNA (ENSZCAG00015013576.1)". It matches the Rfam family "Y RNA". From Rfam's summary of the family: Y RNAs are components of the Ro ribonucleoprotein particle (Ro RNP), in association with Ro60 and La proteins. The Y RNAs and Ro60 and La proteins are well conserved, but the function of the Ro RNP is not known. In humans the RNA component can be one of four small RNAs -- hY1, hY3, hY4 and hY5. The record is from RNAcentral. Lineage: Eukaryota; Metazoa; Chordata; Mammalia; Carnivora; Otariidae.